UACGUAGGGUGCGAGCGUUAAUAGGAAUUACUGGGCGUAAAGCGUGCGCAGGCGGUUUUGUAAGCCAGAUGUGAAAUCCCCGGGCUUAACCUGGGAAUGGCAUUUGGGACUGCAAGGCUUGAGUGCGGCAGAGGAGACUGGAAUUCCUGGUGUAGCAGUGAAAUGCGUAGAUAUCAGGAGGAACACCGAUGGCGAAGGCAGGUCUCUGGGCUGACACUGACGCUCAUGCACGAAAGCGUGGGGAGCAAACAGG
This 253-nucleotide ribosomal RNA is filed under the name uncultured bacterium. Its description in RNAcentral is "partial 16S ribosomal RNA". It matches the Rfam family "Bacterial small subunit ribosomal RNA", at positions 524 to 776 of the family's 1533-position model. The record is from RNAcentral.